CCUACGGGAGGCUGCAGUGGGGGAUAUUGCACAAUGGGGGAAACCCUGAUGCAGCGAUGCCGCGUGAAUGAAGACGGCCUUCGGGGUGUAAAGAUCUGUCGCAGGGGACGAAAAUGACGGUACCCGGCAAGAAAGCUCCGGCUAACGACGUGCCAGCAGCCGCGGUAAGACGUAGGGAGCAAGCGUUGUCCGGAAUGACUGGGUGUAAAGGGAGCGUAGGCGGGAGGAGAAGUGGAAUGUUAAAUCCAUGGGCUCAACCCAUAGCUGCGUUCAAAACGGUUCUUCUUGAGUGCAGUAGAGGCAGGCGGCCUUCCUCGUGUAGCGGUGAAAUGCGUAGCUCUUCGGAGG
Molecule: ribosomal RNA, 348 nt
Filed under: uncultured bacterium
Lineage: Bacteria
Description: partial 16S ribosomal RNA
Rfam family: Bacterial small subunit ribosomal RNA
Source: RNAcentral